This 1322-nucleotide ribosomal RNA is filed under the name metagenome. RNAcentral describes it as "SSU rRNA". It matches the Rfam family "Eukaryotic small subunit ribosomal RNA", at positions 558 to 1777 of the family's 1831-position model. The record is from RNAcentral.
AGUCUGGUGCCAGCAGCCGCGGUAAUUCCAGCUCUAAUAGCGUAUAUUAAAGUUGUUGCAGUUAAAAAGCUCGUAGUUGGAUUUCGGCGUGCGCUCAGGCUGGUCGGCCGUCAAGGUCUGUACCGUUUGGGUCACGCCCCACUGUAGGAUACUCACCGCUGUCCUUAACUGGGUGGCGGUCAAAGGGGGUGUGCAUGGGGGCAACUCUGUGCAUAUCUCUGGGGUUCCUACUCUUUUACUUUGAGCAAAUUAGAGUGUUCAAAGCAGGCAAUCGAGCCUUGAAUACUUCAGCAUGGGAUAAUGGAACAGGACUGGGGUCCUGAUUUCGUUGGUUUCUGGGAUCUCAGUAAUGAUUAAUAGGGAUAGUUGGGGGCAUUAGUAUUUAAUUGUCAGAGGUGAAAUUCUUGGAUUUAUGAAAGACUAACUUCUGCGAAAGCAUUUGCCAAGGAUGUUUUCAUUAAUCAAGAACGAAAGUUAGGGGAUCGAAGACGAUCAGAUACCGUCGUAGUCUUAACCAUAAACGAUGCCGACCAGCGAUUGGGAGACGUUACAUGGAUGACUCCCCCAGCAGCUUGCGAGAAAUCACAAGUCUUUGGGUUCCGGGGGGGAGUAUGGUCGCAAGGCUGAAACUUAAAGGAAUUGACGGAAGGGCACCACCAGGAGUGGAGCCUGCGGCUUAAUUUGACCCAACACGGGGAAACUUACCAGGUCCAGACAUAGUAAGGAUUGACAGAUUUGAGAGCUCUUUCUUGAUUCUAUGGGUGGUGGCGCAUGGCCGUUCUUAGUUGGUGGAGUGAUUUGUCUGGUUAAUUCCGUUAACGAACGAGACCUUAACCUGCUAAAUAUGUCACUGGUAGACUUCUGCCAAAACAGGUGGGUGUCUAGGGGAAAGUUUCGAUGGACUCCGACGCAUUCAUCUGUGGAUGACUACCAGGAUGUACUUCUUAGAGGGACUAUCUGUAUCAAAGCAGAUGGAAGUUUGAGGCAAUAACAGGUCUGUGAUGCCCUUAGAUGUUCUGGGCCGCACGCGCGCUACACUGACAAGUUCAACGAGUUUAACACCUUGCUCGAUAGGGCUGGGUAAUCUUUGAAAAACUUGUCGUGAUGGGGAUAGAUCAUUGUAAUUAUUGGUCUUCAACGAGGAAUUCCUAGUAAGCGUGAGUCAUCAGCUCGCGUUGAUUACGUCCCUGCCCUUUGUACACACCGCCCGUCGCUCCUACCGAUUGAAUGAUCCGGUGAAAUGUUGGGAGCUGGGGUCUUUUGGCGGCGGGGCAACUCGUCGUCAGGGAUUCUGCAAACUUCAUUAAACCUUAUCAUUUAGA